This 267-nucleotide long non-coding RNA is filed under the name Rattus norvegicus (Norway rat). Its description in RNAcentral is "long non-coding RNA NONRATT022188". The record is from RNAcentral. Lineage: Eukaryota; Metazoa; Chordata; Mammalia; Rodentia; Muridae.
GCCACUGGGUGUAGUGCUACGUCUAGCUUCUAUCUUUAGAAGUUUCCUUCCAAAAAUGCAAGGCUGGGAGGAUGCUGCUGCUCAACAGGUAGCUGUUCCAUAGAAACAAGGAGCACUGCACCUACUGGCUGCUGGUGAAGCUAAAACGUUUGAUCCAGGAGCCCCUGCUCCAAUCAUGACCUCUUCAGCAAACUGCACUGGCUCUGGAAGACUCCGCUCUCUGUAAGACAGAGCCAGUAAAUUCUAGAUGAAUCUGCUCACUGGGAA